This 345-nucleotide unclassified non-coding RNA is filed under the name soil metagenome. RNAcentral's name for it is "partial contains 5.8S ribosomal RNA, internal transcribed spacer 2, and large subunit ribosomal RNA". The stretch from base 1 to 120 matches the Rfam family "5.8S ribosomal RNA", at positions 35 to 154 of the family's 154-position model. The record is from RNAcentral.
GAUGAAGAACGCAGUGAAAUGCGAUACGUAAUGUGAAUUGCAGAAUUCAGUGAAUCAUCGAGUCUUUGAACGCACAUUGCGCCCCCUGGUAUUCCGGGGGGCAUGCCUGUCCGAGCGUCAUUGCUGCCCUCAAGCACGGCUUGUGUGUUGGGCCUCCGUCCACCUCCCGGGGGACGGGCCCGAAAGGCAGCGGCGGCACCGCGUCCGGUCCUCGAGCGUAUGGGGCUUCGUCACCCGCUCUUGUAGGCCCGGCCGGCGCUUGCCGACACAUCAAUCUUUUUUCCAGGUUGACCUCGGAUCAGGUAGGGAUACCCGCUGAACUUAAGCAUAUCAAUAAGCGGAGGA